Molecule: non-coding RNA, 47 nt
Filed under: Schistosoma mansoni
Lineage: Eukaryota; Metazoa; Platyhelminthes; Trematoda; Strigeidida; Schistosomatidae
Source: RNAcentral
AUCCAGUGACGAGUUCCAAAUAGGACGAAACGCGCCUCAAACUGGAU